RNAcentral lists this ribosomal RNA (346 nucleotides) under uncultured bacterium. RNAcentral's name for it is "bacterial SSU rRNA". It matches the Rfam family "Bacterial small subunit ribosomal RNA", at positions 366 to 714 of the family's 1533-position model. The record is from RNAcentral.
GGCUGAUGCAGCACUCUGAUCAGCCAUGCCGCGUGCAGGAGACUGCCCUAUGGGUUGUAAACUGCUUUUAUAGAGGAAGAAACGUCCCUACGUGAAGGGAAUUGACGGUACUCUACGAAUAAGGAUCGGCUAACUCCGUGCCAGCAGCCGCGGUAAUACGGAGGAUCCAAGCGUUAUCCGGAAUCAUUGGGUUUAAAGGGUCCGUAGGCGGACUAGUAAGUCAGUGGUGAAAGUUUGCGGCUCAACUGGAGAAUUGCCAUUGAUACUGUUAGUCUUGAAUCAUUGUGAAGUGGUUAGAAUGAGUGGUGUAGCGGUGAAAUGCAUAGAGUCACUCAGAAUACCGAUG